ACGGGGCCCGCACAAGCGGUGGAGCAUGUUGGUUUAAUUCGAAGCAACGCGAAGAACCUUACCAGGUCUUGACAUCCCGAUGCUAUUUCUAGAGAUAGAAAGUUACUUCGGUACAUCGGUGACAGGUGGUGCAUGGUUGUCGUCAGCUCGUGUCGUGAGAUGUUGGGUUAAGUCCCGCAACGAGCGCAACCCCUAUUGUUAGUUGCCAUCAUUCAGUUGGGCACUCUAGCGAGACUGCCGGUAAUAAACCGGAGGAAGGUGGGGAUGACGUCAAAUCAUCAUGCCCCUUAUGACCUGGGCUACACACGUGCUACAAUGGUUGGUACAACGAGUUGCGAGUCGGUGACGGCGAGCUAAUCUCUUAAAGCCAAUCUCAGUUCGGAUUGUAGGCUGCAACUCGCCUACAUGAAGUCGGAAUCGCUAGUAAUCGCGGAUCAGCACGCCGCGGUGAAUACGUUCCCGGGCCUU
Molecule: ribosomal RNA, 468 nt
Filed under: uncultured Streptococcus sp.
Lineage: Bacteria; Bacillati; Bacillota; Bacilli; Lactobacillales; Streptococcaceae
Description: bacterial SSU rRNA
Rfam family: Bacterial small subunit ribosomal RNA
Source: RNAcentral